Molecule: ribosomal RNA, 825 nt
Filed under: Rhinella arborescandens
Lineage: Eukaryota; Metazoa; Chordata; Amphibia; Anura; Bufonidae
Description: partial 16S ribosomal RNA
Rfam family: Bacterial large subunit ribosomal RNA
Source: RNAcentral
AAUGCCCAAUCUCAUAAACACUACCCUAAUCCUUUAUCAGUACUGAGUAAUUCUAUAUUAUUAUAGAAAAUUUUAUGUUAAAACUAGUAACAAGAAAAAGACUUUCUCUUCAAUGUAAGUGUAAAUCAGAAAGGACAAACCACUGAUACUUAACAUCACUGAGCCAAAAGUAGAAACUCAACAAGAAAACCCUACUUUUAUUUAUGUUAACCUAACACAAGAAUAUUAUAAGAAAGAUUAAAAGAAAAAGAAGGAACUCGGCAAAUAUUAACCUCGCCUGUUUACCAAAAACAUCGCCUCUUGAGUUCUAUAAGAGGUCCAGCCUGCCCAGUGACCCUGUUCAACGGCCGCGGUAUCCUAACCGUGCGAAGGUAGCGUAAUCACUUGUUCUUUAAUUAAGGACUAGUAUGAAUGGCAUCACGAAGGUUAUACUGUCUCCUUUUUCUAAUCAGUGAAACUAAUCUUCCCGUGAAGAAGCGGGAAUAUAAAUAUAAGACGAGAAGACCCUAUGGAGCUUAAAAUGACUCAACAUUUGCUUAAAUAUUAAAAAUUUCAGAACAUUAACUCUUCAAGCAAUAUGAUUGUAAGUUUUUGGUUGGGGUGACCAUGGAGAAUAACCUAACCUCCAUGUUGAAAGAACUCCCUUCUAAGCUAAGAAUUACUAAUCUAAGCAUCAACACACUGACACUCCUUGACCCAAUAUAAUUGAUCAACGAACCAAGUUACCCUAGGGAUAACAGCGCAAUCUACUUCAAGAGCUCCUAUCGACAAGUAGGUUUACGACCUCGAUGUUGGAUCAGGGUAUCCUAGUGGUGUAGCCGCUAC